GAUGAAGAACGUAGCGAAAUGCGAUAAGUAAUGUGAAUUGCAGAAUUCAGUGAAUCAUCGAAUCUUUGAACGCACAUUGCGCCCCUUGGUAUUCCGAGGGGCAUGUCUGUUCGAGCGUCAUAUUAACCACUCCCGCUUGCGGGGUCUUGGGCUUCGCCUCCGGGCGGGCCUUAAAAUCAGUGGCGGUGCCGUCGGGCUCUACGCGUAGUAAAUUUUCUCGCGAUAGGGUCCCGGUGGAUGCUUGCCAACAACCCCCAACUUCUUAAGGUUGACCUCGGAUCAGGUAGGGAUACCCGCUGAACUUAAGCAUAUCAAUAAGCGGAGGA
Molecule: unclassified non-coding RNA, 326 nt
Filed under: soil metagenome
Description: partial contains 5.8S ribosomal RNA, internal transcribed spacer 2, and large subunit ribosomal RNA
Rfam family: 5.8S ribosomal RNA (bases 1-120)
Source: RNAcentral